CAGCGCUCCCGGGUCCUCGUGGCCCAGAUGUAGUAAAUGGUCAUGGUUUUGUUCUUAGGCUGCUCCCACACCACCAUCAAGUUCUGCAGCUGUCAAAUGAAACGACUCAGGCGAAGAGCUCCAACCACCGCCCUCUCCGUGCUGAGCAUUCGCUGCCUCCACUGCCACAUGCACAGAUUCUAAAAAAGCGAUGAAAGGGCGGAACACUUACUUCCUCCGAGACAGGGAUGCUUUCUUCUGAUCCAGGGUCACUGAUGAGUCAGAUGCAUGAGCUGUGCCCCGAUCUGCCUGCCUGUCUAGGACCCACCCUCUUCACUGGGCUUGGAGCUUCUCGGGAGAGCACUGAUGAGAACCAGACCAGCCAGCGUUCAAAUCCCUGCUCUUUCACUUAGUAGGGGUGUGACUGACAAAAUGACAUUUUCUCUCCCUGAACCCCAGUUUCCACAUCUAUAAAAUGUGGGUAUAAAUACCUAAUUCACAGGGCAUUUGUGAGGAUUAGAUAAAAAUAACAUGUGUUGAAUGCGUAACACAAAGUACCUGCUUGCUAACACUAACAUGACCUAUAUCUACACACACUUCUGUGUGGUCACACACAUCCACAGGGCGUGUUUAAUCCUGUGUGUGGGUGUGUGUUUAAUCUCUGUACCCCCCAGACCCAGCACAGUGCAUGGCGUGUACUACAAACCACACAAGGCUGAAGAGGGGGGUGGCCUCUCCCAGAAGAUGAACGUGUUUAUGACAGAUGGCAGGACACACAUUGCAAGUGUGUACAACUUACAGCAAGACAAUAUGCUGUAAAUAAGAAGGAAGCGCAAAGAUGCUGAUGAUUAAUUCUCCUUUUCCAGGGGAAGGUUUGAUUCAGCUAGAAAUGUAGAUUUACUCAUUGUCCUACAAAAUAAAUCCCGAUAAACAAUUACAUCACAAAACACACCAGAGUUCUAGUCCUGUAAGCUCCUGUUAUCACAGUCCUUUAAAAAAAACACCCUGCCUUCAAUACACUUUCCUAACAAAUCCCUUAACAUGGGAUCUACACUGACUCCAUUUCAGUUUGAAUAAACAAGGCUAGUAAAAUUAAACACAUGAGAGAUUCCAAGCACAGAGGUACUGACUCCAUUAUAAGAAAAAAGCACACUAUGUCAAAAUUGAAAUAGGAAAAAAGCUAAGAACAUGUAUGCUUUCAACUCUUCAAUUUACUUACAGUCACCUAAGCAAAC
This 1214-nucleotide long non-coding RNA is filed under the name Pan troglodytes (chimpanzee). Its description in RNAcentral is "long non-coding RNA NONPTRT016919". Lineage: Eukaryota; Metazoa; Chordata; Mammalia; Primates; Hominidae. The record is from RNAcentral.